Molecule: ribosomal RNA, 450 nt
Filed under: uncultured bacterium
Lineage: Bacteria
Description: partial 16S ribosomal RNA
Rfam family: Bacterial small subunit ribosomal RNA
Source: RNAcentral
AGCGAACAUUGGCGGUAGGCUUAACACAUGCAAGUCGAGCGAGGCGUAAUAGUCGAGCGGCGAACGGGUGAGUAAUACAUGGGAAUCUACCUCGAAGUGGGGGAUAACGUUCAGAAAUGGACGCUAAUACCGCAUAAUCCGGGAACGGGAAGGCGCGCUGCGCUUUGAGAUGAGCCCAUGGCUGAUUAGCUAGUUGGUGGGGUAAAGGCCUACCAAGGCGACGAUCAGUAGCUGGUCUGAGAGGAUGAUCAGCCACACUGGAACUGCGACACGGUCCAGACUCCUACGGGAGGCAGCAGUGGGGAAUCUUGCGCAAUGGGGGCAACCUUGACGCAGCCAUACCGCGUGUGCGAUGACGGUCUUCGGAUUGUAAAGCACUUUUAGUGGGGACGAUGAUGACGGUACCCACAGAAAAAGUCACGGCUAACUUCGUGCCAGCCGCCGCAGUAA